GAGAAAGAAAACAAAUAUCUUCUUAUCGGUGUUAUGAAACCUUACUGAUUUCCUUGUAAUAAUCUAUGAAUAAGCCCCACAUGCAUCUCUACGUCCUAUUAUUUCUCUCUAUCUUUAUUUUAUAAUCCUUAAUUUCAUCUCUCCUUGCUAGUUCUGAAAUUGACUUCGCAUCAGCCAACAUUUGUCUGUUUAUUCUUUCUCUUAACACGUAAAUCCUCAGGUUCAGAAUGAUGAUACUAGCUAGUGCUUAUGGUAUGACUUAUGAUCCACUGAUUUAGAUAUGUAAAACUUAAAUGUUCUUGCAAGUACUUAUGAAGCGAAUCCAUCAUUCUUUGCAGUGCCAAAAUUUCUUACAUAUUCAUCUUUGGGAGAAAGAUCAAGGCAUAUAGUGGGCUACUUCUGCAAAAGGAGCUCUUUAGAGGUGAUGAUAUAUGUUGGAUGACGAAACAAGGAUAUUGUUCUGGUGCUUGCUUCGACUUGGGUGUUCAGAGAAGUGAAACUUUAACUAAUCUGUUCAGGGAAGCAACAUAUUGCAUUUAAAGUGAAGCUUCCUCUAUGAUAUGGAGAUGCAAUCAUCCAUCUAAAGACAAGAUUGCCAAGAUAAAUCGAUGAUGCAUGGCUCAGAAGUUGAUUACAAGAUCGAGAAGGUGGCUACUACUAGAUAGUUUCAGAUUAUGUUUUGGAAUGUAAUUUUUAGGGUCAUGUUUCAAACACUGUGUGUUUAGAUGGCUGAGUCGUUCAGUGCAAGGUUGAGAAUCAGACUAUUACUAGAUAGUUUCACAUAUUGUAAUCUGUGUAUCAUGUUCUUUGUAA
Triticum urartu is the source of this 813-nucleotide non-coding RNA. The record is from RefSeq and is a predicted model, not a curated record. NCBI's taxonomy places the organism in Eukaryota, Viridiplantae, Streptophyta, Magnoliopsida, Poales, Poaceae.